CUUAUCGAGAGCGGUGGAGGGAACGGCCCGAUGAAGCCCGGCAACCUGCAGAAGCAAGGUGCCAAAUCCGGCGAGGAAAUCGAAAGAUGAGG
This 92-nucleotide non-coding RNA is filed under the name uncultured Flavonifractor sp. Its description in RNAcentral is "SAM riboswitch (S box leader)". It matches the Rfam family "SAM riboswitch aptamer (S box leader)". Rfam says of the family: The SAM riboswitch is found upstream of a number of genes which code for proteins involved in methionine or cysteine biosynthesis in Gram-positive bacteria. The record is from RNAcentral. Lineage: Bacteria; Bacillati; Bacillota; Clostridia; Eubacteriales; Oscillospiraceae.